RNAcentral lists this small RNA (295 nucleotides) under Ascochyta rabiei. RNAcentral describes it as "Didymella rabiei 5' ureB small RNA". It matches the Rfam family "5' ureB small RNA". The record is from Rfam by way of RNAcentral. Lineage: Eukaryota; Fungi; Ascomycota; Dothideomycetes; Pleosporales; Didymellaceae.
CCUCAUGUGCCUGUUGUGGACAGAUGAAGUGGAUGUGGGUGUCGAAACCGCCCGCGGUGACAAUCUUAUGCUCGGCUGCAAUCACAUCUGUGCAGGAUCCAACGACCAUGUUGGGAUCGACACCUUGCAUGACAUCUGGGUUACCAGCUUUGCCGAUGCCAACAACGAUGCCGUCCUUGAUGCCAAUGUCAGCUUUGUAGAUGCCGGACCAGUCGACAAUCAGAGCGUUUGUAAUGACAGUAUCGAGGACUUCGUUGUCAGAUCGGCCUCCAGCCUGACCCAUUCCUUCUCUAAG